UCUAGUUAAAACAGAAGCAGAAGUAUUAGAUGAAGGACUUUGGGGAGCGGAAGAGCCGGAAUUAAGUGGCAUUUUCAAUGUGACCUUCUUGUGAGGUCUACAAACGGUAAAUUUGUUUUUUUCACUUUGGGCUUCAGUGGCAUCCAAAAUUUUUGUAGCCAUUUCUCCUUUAGCACCACGGAUUUUUUCAAACCCUCGAAAACGUCGAGAUGGUAAUUCUGGAACAACUGCCAAAUUCGGUGCCGAACUAAAACCUUUG
Molecule: non-coding RNA, 259 nt
Organism: Schizosaccharomyces pombe (fission yeast)
Lineage: Eukaryota; Fungi; Ascomycota; Schizosaccharomycetes; Schizosaccharomycetales; Schizosaccharomycetaceae
Source: the annotation of a GenBank genome assembly